UUGGAUCGGAGGGCUCAACUUUGAAACAUUUUGAGUUCCUCCUAAAAAGCUCAUACUGUAUAUACAAUGAUAUUACCAUUUCUUCAUUAUUGCGAGAAAGGAUUUGAUGGCCCAAAGAAUACACUUUUUGGAGGAUUUGGAGGAUGCAUGUGCACACUGUCCUAUCCACUGUUUAAGGUGGAACUAAUCAGUGGCUAUGAGAUGUAAAUUGAUGGACGAUAUGCUGGACGAGAGAGAAAACCGAAACUGGGAAGCUGCAGGCGGUGCUGUUAGCAGGAUGAAAAUACAAGCAGGGUGUGGUGCAGACAAACAUAGUUCAGGGUUGUUGUCCAAAUUAACGAAGGCUGAAAACGGGAAAAGGACUGUAGUGAAGCACCGAGGGAAUUCAAGAAGAGGUACAAAUACAAGCCAAGGCCAGAACUAAGAGGCAGUCUGCUGGGGAGAUCCAAAAGUUGAGGUUGGGACAAGACAAGCAUGUAUUGUCUGAGCAUUAAAUGUCACUUGGUGAAUGAUAGGCCCUGACUCACCUCUGGUUUAAAUGGAGUCUUACCUAUCCAUCAGGAGCUGUCAGUGAUGGAGCUUAGGAUAUUUUACCUGAUCGUUACAGUAUGUCAGGUUUUCUGCACUGUGGAUUGAGCUGCCUGAAAGAGAAGAAAGGUCUGUGAUCACAGGAGACCUUUGCCUAUCCUUCAAAGUCAUUGUAAUGGAUGCGUACCAAAAAAUCAGGAAACUGACUCCGAGGGACAAGUCCCAUUUCGGAAGGCAAGAUCAUGAGAAUUUCCAGGAGAAGUAACCUAUUAUGUGCAUCAUCAGAGUUGCUUUCCGUUUGCAUGGAAAUGAUAUGCAUGCACUGAGGUUGUACAGAGUUAACAUGGUGACAGCUGAGACUCAAAAUUGUCACCAUCGAUAGGCCAGGGAUCAUCUUAGGUAGUAGCAGAUAGAGCAGUGGAGUACUUUUUUCACUGAUUAUUGCCAUUUUGUCCUUAGUAUACAUGAUGAGAAACAGUGUACAGUAUAUCAGAGAUGUUUUGGUGAGCAAUAGAUUGAUCAUUGCUUUGUUCAAGCCGGUUGGUGGGGGACUGGAAGUGUGAUGAUUUAAGGAAGAAACUCCUUAAAUACAAAAAUGCAUUUUUUAUUGAGGGAAUCCUUAAUGUUCUGUGAUACAUAGAUGAAGCCAACAGUUUUUUCCUUUCCUGCAAACACCCCACAGUAAUCUGUCCAGAGGCUGAUCAAGUCAAUGCAUCUUUGCUGCCAGGAUCUUCCAUAACCCCUGAAGUUAAUACCACAAUGUACUGUACCUACAGUAAAUAGUACAUUACAAAUGUUAUAUUUGUAAGGCUUUCAUUUUAGCAGUGUUCUUUUUUUAUUUUAGAAUGUGUCAUGGUGAUGUAAUCUGUGGUUUUGUUCAGCCCGC
Molecule: long non-coding RNA, 1414 nt
Organism: Lepisosteus oculatus (spotted gar)
Lineage: Eukaryota; Metazoa; Chordata; Actinopteri; Semionotiformes; Lepisosteidae
Source: RefSeq, a predicted model, not a curated record